Molecule: ribosomal RNA, 497 nt
Filed under: uncultured bacterium
Lineage: Bacteria
Description: partial 16S ribosomal RNA
Rfam family: Bacterial small subunit ribosomal RNA
Source: RNAcentral
GAUGAACGCUGGCGGCGUGCCUAAUACAUGCAAGUCGAGCGAACAGACGAUGAGCUUGCUCUCCUGACGUUAGCGGCUGACGGGUGAGUAACACGUGGAUAACCUACCUCUAAUACUGGGAUGACAUCGGGAAACCGGAGCUAAUAACAGCUAAUACAUUGAACCGGAUGGUUCAAGAGUGAAUGGCGGCUUUGGUGACACUAUUAGACGGUUCCGGGCCGCAUUAGCUAGUUGGUAAGGUAAAGGCUUACCAAGGCGACGUUGCGUAGCCGACCUGAGAGGGUGAUCGGCCACACUGGAACUGAGACACGGUCCAGACUCCUACGGGAGGCAGCAGUGGGGAAUCUUCCGCAAUGGGCGAAAGCCUGAUGGAGCAACGCCGCGUGAGUGAUGAAGGUCUUCGGAUCGUAAAACUCUGUUAUUAGGGAAGAACAAAUGUGUAAGUAACUAUGCACGUCUUGACGGUACCUAAUCAGAAAGCAACGGCUAACUACGUG